UUAGAAGUAAUUUGGAAUGGACCGAUGAUGUAUAAAGAUUCAAACCCAUUAUGACUCAUCGAAUCUAUAUUAGCGCCUCUCAAACGAUCUAAUUGCUGUGGUUUGUCUGACCCAUGAUCGGCAAAUAUCUGUCUGACCUUUGAUUGGAGGCUAUUUUGUUCGACCCCUCAUCGCAUAUUCUUGAUCCGACUUCUGAUCUAAAAGAGCAAAUCGGAGUGCACACCUUAAACAUUACAGUUGCAUGAUUGAUUAUGACUCGUCCGACCCCUAGUCGGCAUGUGCCAGGUCUGACCCCUAAUCGAUCAAACUUUGAUCUGACCCUUAGUCGGAUGGUUCUUUGUCCGAAUCCUAGAUGGAAAAAGUUUGGUCCAACUCUUGAUCGGAGAAUUUGCUAGUCGAUCUCCAGUCGCACCCAAUCCCUACUCCGCUUGC
This 432-nucleotide long non-coding RNA is filed under the name Elaeis guineensis (African oil palm). RNAcentral's name for it is "long non-coding RNA (EGUI_LNC004259)". Lineage: Eukaryota; Viridiplantae; Streptophyta; Magnoliopsida; Arecales; Arecaceae. The record is from RNAcentral.